GAUGAAGAACGUAGCGAAAUGCGAUAAGUAAUGUGAAUUGCAGAAUUCCGUGAAUCAUCGAAUCUUUGAACGCACAUUGCGCCCCCUGGUAUUCCGGGCGGCAUGCCUGUCCGAGCGUCAUUGCAACCUUCAAGCGCGGCUUGUGUGUUGGGUCUCGUCCCCCGUGGACGGGCCCGAAAGGCAGUGGCGGCGUCCCGACAUGGUGCCCGAGCGUAUGGGAAUCCUCUUCCGCUCGAAUCGGCCCAUGCGGCGCUGGUCGUAACCAAAUUUUUUACCGGUUGACCUCGGAUCAGGUAGGGAUACCCGCUGAACUUAAGCAUAUCAAUAAGCGGAGGA
This 336-nucleotide unclassified non-coding RNA is filed under the name soil metagenome. RNAcentral describes it as "partial contains 5.8S ribosomal RNA, internal transcribed spacer 2, and large subunit ribosomal RNA". The stretch from base 1 to 120 matches the Rfam family "5.8S ribosomal RNA", at positions 35 to 154 of the family's 154-position model. The record is from RNAcentral.